Molecule: non-coding RNA, 35 nt
Filed under: Siminovitchia fordii DSM 16014 = CIP 108821
Lineage: Bacteria; Bacillati; Bacillota; Bacilli; Caryophanales; Bacillaceae
Description: L31-Firmicutes ribosomal protein leader
Rfam family: L31-Firmicutes ribosomal protein leader
Source: RNAcentral
CUCUGUUUCAGCAAAUGAUUCAGGGCAUUAAGGAG